Molecule: ribosomal RNA, 665 nt
Filed under: uncultured Neomoorella sp.
Lineage: Bacteria; Bacillati; Bacillota; Clostridia; Neomoorellales; Neomoorellaceae
Description: bacterial SSU rRNA
Rfam family: Bacterial small subunit ribosomal RNA
Source: RNAcentral
AGUCGAGCGCGUUCCGGGGGCAACUCCGGGAUGAGCGGCGAACGGGUGAGUAACACGUGGGUAAUCUCCCCCCGAGUGAGGAAUAAGCCCCCGAAAGGGGGUCUAAUACUGCAUAACACCCAGGGGCAUAAGCUUCCUGGGUCAAAGCCGUAAGGCGCUUGGGGAUGAGCCCGCGUCCUAUUAGCUAGUUGGUAGGGUAACGGCCUACCAAGGUUAUGAUGGGUAGCCGGCCUGAGAGGGUGUACGGCCACACUGGGACUGAGACACGGCCCAGACUCCUACGGGAGGCAGCAGUGAGGAAUUUUGCGCAAUGGGCGAAAGCCUUACGCAGCGACGCCGCGUGGAGGAUGACGGCCUUCGGGUCGUAAACUCCUGUCAGAGGUGAAGAAUCCCCGCAAGGGGUUGACGGUAACCUCAAAGGAAGCCCCGGCCAACUACGUGCCAGCAGCCGCGGUAAUACGUAGGGGGCAAACGUUACUCGGAAUUACUGGGCGUAAAGGGUGUGUAGGUGGCUGAGUAAGUCAAAGAUGAAAUCCCGUGGCCUAACUGCGGAACUGUCUUUGAGACUGCUCGGCUUGAGGAUAGUGGAGGAGAAUGGAAUUCCCGGUGGAGCGGUGAAAUGCGUAGAUAUCGGGAGGAACACCCGAGGCGAAGGCGAUUCUCUA